AUUGAACGCUGGCGGCAUGCUUUACACAUGCAAGUCGAACGGUAACAGGUUAAGCUGACGAGUGGCGAACGGGUGAGUAAUGCAUCGGAACGUGCCCAGUCGUGGGGGAUAACGCAGCGAAAGCUGUGCUAAUACCGCAUACGAUCUAUGGAUGAAAGCGGGGGACCGUAAGGCCUCGCGCGAUUGGAGCGGCCGAUGUCAGAUUAGCUAGUUGGUGGGGUAAAGGCCCACCAAGGCGACGAUCUGUAGCUGGUCUGAGAGGACGACCAGCCACACUGGAACUGAGACACGGUCCAGACUCCUACGGGAGGCAGC
This 315-nucleotide ribosomal RNA is filed under the name uncultured bacterium. RNAcentral's name for it is "bacterial SSU rRNA". It matches the Rfam family "Bacterial small subunit ribosomal RNA", at positions 30 to 352 of the family's 1533-position model. The record is from RNAcentral.